GAUGAACGCUGGCGGCGUGCCUAAUACAUGCAAGUCGAGCGAACAGACGAGGAGCUUGCUCCUCUGACGUUAGCGGCGGACGGGUGAGUAACACGUGGAUAACCUACCUAUAAGACUGGGAUAACUUCGGGAAACCGGGGCUAAUACCGGAUAAUAUAUUGAACCGCAUGGUUCAAUAGUGAAAGACGGUUUUGCUGUCACUUAUAGAUGGAUCCGCGCCGCAUUAGCUAGUUGGUAAGGUAACGGCUUACCAAGGCAACGAUGCGUAGCCGACCUGAGAGGGUGAUCGGCCACACUGGAACUGAGACACGGUCCAGACUCCUACGGGAGGCAGCAGUAGGGAAUCUUCCGCAAUGGGCGAAAGCCUGACGGAGCACCGCCGAGUGAGUGAUGAAGGUCUUCGGCUCGUAAAACUCUGUUAUUAGGGAAGAACAAAUGUGUAAGUAACUAUGCACGUCUUGACGGUACCUAAUCAGAAAGCCACGGCUAACUACGUG
RNAcentral lists this ribosomal RNA (497 nucleotides) under uncultured bacterium. RNAcentral describes it as "partial 16S ribosomal RNA". It matches the Rfam family "Bacterial small subunit ribosomal RNA", at positions 28 to 507 of the family's 1533-position model. The record is from RNAcentral.